AUAUUUGUUAUUAUUAUUUGUUUUGUUUAGUACUGUAUAGUUGUAAUUUGAUUGUUAAUUCGAGGAGUACACCCGUGGUAUCCAAAUUUGUCCCAUCUAAACUCAUAGCACCAUAUAAACUCGUUUCAUCCAAACCCGUCCUACCAUGUAAACUCGUCUCCUUUAAACCCAUCCCGCCAUAUAAAUCCGUCCCGUGAUAACUAAAAAUCAAAUU
RNAcentral lists this small RNA (214 nucleotides) under Arabidopsis thaliana (thale cress). RNAcentral describes it as "ATSL095390". The record is from RNAcentral. Lineage: Eukaryota; Viridiplantae; Streptophyta; Magnoliopsida; Brassicales; Brassicaceae.